Molecule: ribosomal RNA, 406 nt
Filed under: uncultured bacterium
Lineage: Bacteria
Description: partial 16S ribosomal RNA
Rfam family: Bacterial small subunit ribosomal RNA
Source: RNAcentral
AUUGAACGCUGGCGGCAGGCCUAACACAUGCAAGUCGAACGAGUGGCGGACGGGUGAGUAAUAUCUGGGAAACUGCCUGAUGGAGGGGGAUAACUACUGGAAACGGUAGCUAAUACCGCAUACCAUCAGAUGUGCCCAGAUGGGAUUGGCUUGUUGGUGGGGUAACGGCUCACCAAGGCGACGAUCCCUAGCUGGUUUGAGAGGAUGACCAGCCACACUGGGACGGAGACACGGCCAAGACUCCAACGGGAGGCAGCAGUGGGGAAUAUUGGACAAUGGGCGAAAGCCUGAUACAGCCAUGCCGCGUGUAUGAAGAAGGCCUUCGGGUUGUAAAGUACUUUUGGCGGGGAAGCGUUACCUGCAGAAGAAGCACCGGCUAACUACGUGCCAGCAGCCGCGGUAAUAC